RNAcentral lists this ribosomal RNA (492 nucleotides) under uncultured bacterium. Its description in RNAcentral is "partial 16S ribosomal RNA". It matches the Rfam family "Bacterial small subunit ribosomal RNA", at positions 29 to 507 of the family's 1533-position model. The record is from RNAcentral.
AGUGAACGCUGGCGGUAGGCCUAACACAUGCAAGUCGAACGGCAGCACAGUAAGAGCUUGCUCUUACGGGUGGCGAGUGGCGGACGGGUGAGGAAUACAUCGGAAUCUACUUUUUCGUGGGGGAUAACGUAGGGAAACUUACGCUAAUACCGCAUACGACCUACGGGUGAAAGCAGGGGAUCUUCGGACCUUGCGCGAUUGAAUGAGCCGAUGUCGGAUUAGCUAGUUGGCGGGGUAAAGGCCCACCAAGGCGACGAUCCGUAGCUGGUCUGAGAGGAUGAUCAGCCACACUGGAACUGAGACACGGUCCAGACUCCUACGGGAGGCAGCAGUGGGGAAUAUUGGACAAUGGGCGCAAGCCUGAUCCAGCCAUACCGCGUGGGUGAAGAGGGCCUUCGGGUUGUAAAGCCCUUUUGUUGGGAAAGAAAAGCAGCAGGUUAAUACCCCGCUGUUCUGACGGUACCCAAAGAAUAAGCACCGGCUAACUCCGUG